AGAGUUUGAUCAUGGCUCAGGAUGAACGCUAGCGGCAGGCUUAAUACAUGCAAGUCGUGGGGCAGCAUGGUGUAGCAAUACACUGAUGGCGACCGGCAAACGGGUGCGGAACACGUACGCAACCUUCCUUUAACUGGAGAAUAGCCCGGGGAAACCCGGAUUAAUACUCCGUAACAUUAUGAAGUGGCAUCACUUUAUAAUUAUAGCUCCGGCGGUUGAAGAUGGGCGUGCGUCUGAUUAGGUAGUUGGCGGGGUAACGGCCCACCAAGCCUACGAUCAGUAACUGGUGUGAGAGCACGACCAGUCACACGGGCACUGAGACACGGGCCCGACUCUUACGGGAGGCAGCAGUAAGGAAUAUUGGUCAAUGGACGCAAGUCUGAACCAGCCAUGCCGCGUGAAGGAUGAAGGUCCUCUGGAUUGUAAACUUCUUUUAUUUGGGAAGAAACCCAUGAUUUCUAUCGUGGUUGACGGUACCAGAUGAAUAAGCACCGGCUAACUCCGUGCCAGCAGCCGCGGUAAUACGGAGGGUGCAAGCGUUAUCCGGAUUCACUGGGUUUAAAGGGUGCGUAGGCGGGUUGGUAAGUCCGUGGUGAAAUCUCCAAGCUUAACUUGGAAACUGCCGUGGAUACUAUCAAUCUUGAAUAUAGUGGAGGUGAGCGGAAUAUGUCAUGUAGCGGUGAAAUGCUUAGAUAUGACAUAGAACACCCAUUGCGAAGGCAGCUCGCUACACUAUUAUUGACGCUGAGGCACGAAAGCGUGGGGAUCAAACAGGAUUAGAUACCCUAGUAGUCC
This 795-nucleotide ribosomal RNA is filed under the name uncultured bacterium. RNAcentral describes it as "bacterial SSU rRNA". It matches the Rfam family "Bacterial small subunit ribosomal RNA", at positions 8 to 796 of the family's 1533-position model. The record is from RNAcentral.